AGAGUUUGAUCCUGGCUCAGGAUGAACGCUAGCGACAGGCUUAACACAUGCAAGUCGAGGGGCAGCGGGGGUGAGAGCUUGCUCUCACCUGCCGGCGACCGGCGCACGGGUGAGUAACACGUAUGCAACCUGCCUGUCACUGGGGGAUAAGCGGAAGAAAUUCCGUCUAAUACCGCAUAAUAUCCCUGAGGGACAUCCCUUGGGGAUUAAAGGAGCGAUCCGGUGACAGAUGGGCAUGCGGCGCAUUAGCUUGUUGGCGGGGUAACGGCCCACCAAGGCGACGAUGCGUAGGGGUUCUGAGAGGAAGGUCCCCCACACUGGUACUGAGACACGGACCAGACUCCUACGGGAGGCAGCAGUGAGGAAUAUUGGUCAAUGGGCGAGAGCCUGAACCAGCCAAGUCGCGUGAGGGAAGACGGUCCUAUGGAUUGUAAACCUCUUUUGUCGGGGAGCAAAGGGGCCACGUGUGGUCAAAAGUGAGAGUACCCGAAGAAAAAGCAUCGGCUAACUCCGUGCCAGCAGCCGCGGUAAUACGGAGGAUGCGAGCGUUAUCCGGAUUCAUUGGGUUUAAAGGGUGCGCAGGCGGAGCGUCAAGCCGGCGGUAAAAUCGUGGGGCCCAACCCCAUCCCGCCGUCGGAACUGGCGCCCUUGAGUGGCCGAGAGGUAGGCGGAAUGCGUGGUGUAGCGGUGAAAUGCAUAGAUAUCACGCAGAACGCCGAUUGCGAAGGCAGCCUACUGGCGGCCCACCGACGCUCAGGCACGAAAGCGUGGGGAUCAAACAGGAUUAGAUACCCUGGUAGUCCACGCAGUAAACGAUGGAUGCUAGCCGUCCGGGGGAAUUGGCCCCUGGGGGGCGCAGCGAAAGCGUUAAGCAUCCCACCUGGGGAGUACGCCGGCAACGGUGAAACUCAAAGGAAUUGACGGGGACCCGCACAAGCGGUGGAGCAUGUGGUUUAAUUCGAAGCAACGCGAAGAACCUUACCAGCCCUUGACAUCCUGCUGGCAGCCCGGUAAUGCGGGCUUUCCUACGGGACAGCAGAGACAGGUGGUGCAUGGUUGUCGUCAGUUUGUGUCGUGAGAUGUUGGGUUAAGUCCCGCAACGAGCGCAACCCCUGCUUACAGUAGCCAGCAGCAAGGCUGGGCACUCUGUAAGGGCUGCCGGGGAUAACCCGGAGGAAGGCGGGGACGACGUCAAAUCAUCAUGCCCCUUAUGGGCUGGGCUACACACGUGCUACAAUGGCGCCAACAGAGUGAGGCGAACCUGCGAGGGGGAGCAAAGCACAAAAAAGGCGUCCCAGUUCGGAUUACAGCCUGCAACCCGGCUGUAUGAAGCUGGAAUCGCUAGUAAUCGCAGAUCAGAAUGCUGCGGUGAAUACGUUCCCGGGUCUUGCACUCACCGCCCGUCAAG
Molecule: ribosomal RNA, 1408 nt
Filed under: uncultured bacterium
Lineage: Bacteria
Description: bacterial SSU rRNA
Rfam family: Bacterial small subunit ribosomal RNA
Source: RNAcentral